UGGGGAAUCUUGCACAAUGGGGGCAACCCUGAUGCAGCGACGCCGCGUGAGCGGUGAAGCCCUUCGGGGCGUAAAGCUCUUUCGACCGGAACGAUAGUGACGGUACCAUUUAUAAGCUCCGGCUAACUACGUGCCAGCAGCCGCGGUAAUACGUAGGGAGCAAGCGUUGUUCGGAUUUACUGGGCGUAAAGGGCGCGUAGGCGGCGCGGUAAGUCACUUGUGAAAUCUCUGAGCUUAACUCAGAACGGCCAAGUGAUACUGCUGUGCUAGAGUGCGGAAGAGGCAACCGGAAUUCUUGGUGUAGCGGUGAAAUGCGUAGAUAUCAAGAGGAACACCUGAGGCGAAGGCGGGUUGCUGGGCCGACACUGACGCUGAUGCGCGAAAGCCAGGGGAGCAAACG
RNAcentral lists this ribosomal RNA (400 nucleotides) under uncultured bacterium. Its description in RNAcentral is "bacterial SSU rRNA". It matches the Rfam family "Bacterial small subunit ribosomal RNA", at positions 355 to 774 of the family's 1533-position model. The record is from RNAcentral.